ACGGCAGACAAGAUGAUGGACAAGACGGUGGACAAUGUGGACCGCAUGACCGACAAGAUGGGAGACAAAAUGGCUCAUAAGCUGUCUCUUUGUGUCACCUGUUGGAAGGUAGCCUGGACCAGGUUGGCCGGGAACAUGUUUCUGCAGGACAAAAGGCUGCAGAUACCAGCCACCGAUACUUGAGGCAAACAAAUCUGAUGUCCAGUAAAUCCUCUGGCCCAAUAGGUGGCUCUACACUGCUCCAGUUUGACACAUUGGCGAAUCAUCAUGGUCACAAGGCGCUGGAGCCUAUCCCAGCUAACUCCGGGCGAGAGGUGGACUACACCCUGAACAGGCUCUGGAUACUUCCGAGAGGGAGAACACCAAAAAUCAAGAUUAACCCAGUGGAACUUGUGGGUGCGGCGGAUAAAUG
Molecule: long non-coding RNA, 412 nt
Organism: Phyllopteryx taeniolatus (common seadragon)
Lineage: Eukaryota; Metazoa; Chordata; Actinopteri; Syngnathiformes; Syngnathidae
Exons: 3
Source: RefSeq, a predicted model, not a curated record